This 375-nucleotide ribosomal RNA is filed under the name Triticum aestivum (bread wheat). RNAcentral describes it as "partial small subunit ribosomal RNA". Lineage: Eukaryota; Viridiplantae; Streptophyta; Magnoliopsida; Poales; Poaceae. The record is from RNAcentral.
AUGAAGCCAACUGUUCAUUCAAAUCGGAUGGAGCUACAUUGCAUGCAUGUCCAACGAAUCCAUUCCAUCCAUCAACCAUGUCACAUGCAUGCAUGUAUCCAGGGAACCAUCCAUCACCGCCAUCAAUUGAUGUUACGUGUACAAAGACAAAAGCACCAUGACCAAAGCACUUGGAUUAGGAAUCAACUACCAACGUGGGCACUACAAUAUUUGGCUGUGCCAGAAGAGUUUGGCCCUGCCACGCUUCGGCCUGUACGCGUGGACCUACAGCAGAUCGAAAGAAACACAGCCAAACCGACUCGGCCGCAACAUCUGCAUGUAAUAAAUAGCUAUCAUAGAUUAGGGUUUAGACUUGGGUUUUAUUGUAUUGUCUAG